GAUGAACGCUAGCUACAGGCUUAACACAUGCAAGUCGAGGGGAAACGACAUCGCAAGCUUGCUUUUGAUGGGCGUCGACCGGCGCACGGGUGAGUAACGCGUAUCCAACCUGCCCAUCACUUGGGGAUAACCUUGCGAAAGUAAGACUAAUACCCAAUGAUAUCUCUAGAAGACAUCUGAAAGAGAUUAAAGAUUUAUCGGUGAUGGCUGGGGAUGCGUCUGAUUAGCUUGUUGGCGGGGUAACGGCCCACCAAGGCAACGAUCAGUAGGGGUUCUGAGAGGAAGGUCCCCCACAUUGGAACUGAGACACGGGCCAAACUCCUACGGGAGGCAGCAGUGAGGAAUAUUGGUCAAUGGGCGAGAGCCUGAACCAGCCAAGUAGCGUGCAGGAAGACGGCCCUAUGGGUUGUAAACUGCUUUUAUAAGGGAAUAAAGUGAGAGUCGUGACUCUUUUUGUAUGUACCUUAUGAAUAAGGACCGGCUAAUUCCGUG
This 492-nucleotide ribosomal RNA is filed under the name uncultured bacterium. Its description in RNAcentral is "partial 16S ribosomal RNA". It matches the Rfam family "Bacterial small subunit ribosomal RNA", at positions 28 to 507 of the family's 1533-position model. The record is from RNAcentral.